This 449-nucleotide long non-coding RNA is filed under the name Homo sapiens (human). RNAcentral's name for it is "HSALNT0341159". Lineage: Eukaryota; Metazoa; Chordata; Mammalia; Primates; Hominidae. The record is from RNAcentral.
GGACACGGCAAUGUGGACCUCGCCGCUUCCACAACGAUGCUGGCUACUGAUCGCGUGCACUUCCUUGCCAAAGAAAAGAAAUUAAUGUUAUGACUGGAUGAAGACAAUUGUGAAGAAACUGCACUUUGAGGUUGUCUAUCUCUGUAUUCUGAUGGAAAAGCGUGGAGUUUAGAAGCACUGCUCACUCCUUCAGUUUCUAACAAGUUUGAGACUAUGGUUAGGUGGUGAGGAAGGCAGGCUCAGCACCCAAGCCUUGGGGAGACGCAGAAAGGGCCCAUCCCAGGCACUCAGGUGGAGUAAAACUGAUGCUCCAGAAAGAUGCCCAGGGAGAUUCUGUCCUGCUGCGUCCGCACUGUACAGAACUGACGCUGUGCCUACGCCCGUUUCAGAAGCGUGGAGUACUUAAGAGUUAAUCUAAAAAAGCAAAUAUAAAAAUGGAUUCAAAAAAA